AUAUUAUUCUUUGCUUCUUUUGAAUAUUAUUGUUCCAUGUCGUCCUUCUUUAUAAAUAGGGGUUUUAUUAUCAGAACUAAGAAUUGAGAAACCUAACCUAACAUACAUAGAACCGAUGAAACCGAUGAAGGGGAAGGGAAAGGAAGAAUUGAAGGGGAAGAAUGGCAGAGGGGUUUUGACAGAAGAUAGAGAGCACAGACGAUGAUAUGCAUCAAUUCUGCAUCUCACUCUUUUGUGCUCUCUAUUCUUCUGUCAUCACCUUCGUUCUCCUCUUUACUUCCGCGCCCUCAACCAACCUUUCAUUUUUCCAUCUCUCUUCCUCCCAGCUCUUUUAUUUUCCUCAUCUGAAUGAAUUAUAUUGAAGUAGCUAGUAGUUACAACAAAAAUCUUUAUCCUUGCGCAUUAACGCCGUAACCUAAUUAAUAAUUAGUAUGUUGCAGUUAGACGACGAUGGAGACGACUGGCUAGCUGCUGUGAUCGAAGAUCACGGAUCUCUUUACUCAUGAAUGUGGCAUAACAUUUAUAUAAAAAGCAAACCACAUGGUUUAGUGGAAGGAGGAUCGGACCACACGUGCAUGCAAACAGGAUUUAAUUUGUAGCAGCAAUAAUAACGUGAUUUAUUAUAUUAAGGGAUUAUUGCAGAAGCAGCUAGCUAUCUAAUUGUAAAUUUAAUUUGAAGAAAUUAAAGAAAAUUUAUGGGUCAUCCAUGAUCCAUCCAUGAGAUGCAUACUUGUAACAACCACGAACACGGAGGAGACAUUCCAUCAUCAACAAAGCAAUAAUGCAAUAUAAUGCGUGUAUGUUUAGCAUGAUGACUUGAUGAGCAUCGCACUGUGCAAGUAUUCCAAUCAUAAUUUGAAGGCGAAACGUGUUCAUGUGUGCGGUCUGCCCUCUGAUUGAAUGAUUCAUACUUGAUAAGCCUACUUUCUUACAUGUAGAUGUAAUUAUUAGGAAUAUAUGAUUCUCUUCUAGCUUGAAAUCCUUAGAUUCCCAUACAAUAUAAUUCUUGUCCUGAAAUGUAACACCUAGCUAGUACUUACUAUCGAAUGUUACUUUUUCUA
Non-coding RNA from Arachis ipaensis, 1061 nucleotides. Lineage: Eukaryota; Viridiplantae; Streptophyta; Magnoliopsida; Fabales; Fabaceae. The record is from RefSeq and is a predicted model, not a curated record.